This 558-nucleotide long non-coding RNA is filed under the name Cricetulus griseus (Chinese hamster). Its description in RNAcentral is "lncRNA (ENSCGRG00015039234.1)". The record is from RNAcentral. Lineage: Eukaryota; Metazoa; Chordata; Mammalia; Rodentia; Cricetidae.
UGUCACAUGAUCCGCGUAACUCCCAUGGAGCUCUCAGAUGAGAGGCUUCCCAAAACCCGAAGGAAGGUGAUGGUGGUUUCCUCACAUCCUCUGCUGCCCCCCCACCCCCCGCCCACGCUCUCUUAUGUUUCUUGUACUUUGUCAGGUCUGCUUCCUUUUCAGACCCUACUUAGGUUGCAGCUUUUACCUGGAGAAAACAGAUGGCUGAUGCAAAGUCUCCCGAGAGAUCUGUGGAAUUAAUCUCUUGUCAUUGACUUCACAUUGAGCCUUCAUCCAACAGCUGAUGGAAGUAGAAGCAGACACCCACAGCUAAACACUGAACUGAACUGGAAACCAGUUGCAGAGAAGGAGUAAGGAGCAAAGGGGUCCAGACCAGGCUGGUGAAACCCACAGAAACAGCUGACCUGAAAAAGGGGGAGCUCUUGGCCCCCAGACUGAUCACUGGGAAACCAUCGUGGAACUGAUCCAGACCCCAUGAAUUCAUGGAUUCCUCACCUAUAGCAAGAGUGAUGAUGAAUCUUCCUCAAGAGAUCUCCAAAGUGUAAAGUGAAACAGUGC